RNAcentral lists this ribosomal RNA (425 nucleotides) under uncultured bacterium. RNAcentral's name for it is "bacterial SSU rRNA". It matches the Rfam family "Bacterial small subunit ribosomal RNA", at positions 354 to 796 of the family's 1533-position model. The record is from RNAcentral.
GUGGGGAAUCUUGCACAAUGGGGGAAACCCUGAUGCAGCGACGCCGCGUGAGCGAUGAAGCCCUUCGGGGUGUAAAGCUCUUUCGGCAGGGACGAUAAUGACGGUACCUGCAGAAGAAGCUGCGGCUAACUACGUGCCAGCAGCCGCGGUAAUACGUAGGCAGCAAGCGUUGUUCGGAAUUACUGGGCGUAAAGAGUGCGUAGGCGGUUAGGUAAGUCCGUUGUGAAAUCUCCCGGCUCAACUGGGAGGGUGCAGCGGAAACUGCCUGGCUAGAGUGUGGGAGAGGGAAGUGGAAUUCCUGGUGUAGCGGUGAAAUGCGUAGAUAUCAGGAGGAACACCUGCGGUGUAGACGGCUUCCUGGACCACUACUGACGCUGAGGCACGAAAGCGUGGGGAGCAAACAGGAUUAGAUACCCGUGUAGUCC